This 23-nucleotide non-coding RNA is filed under the name Rattus norvegicus (Norway rat). The record is from RNAcentral. Lineage: Eukaryota; Metazoa; Chordata; Mammalia; Rodentia; Muridae.
UAGUAGUUCUUGCCUGAUGGAGA